AUGUCUCACGUGGUAGACUUCUUCUCCUCUCUCCUCUCUGCUAAACCCGAGGUUGCUCGCUCUUUUUGGACGGACCAAGAGAAGGUUUCUGCUGAGGAGAAUGCAGGCCUAUUGCUUCCUCUAUCGAAGGAGGAGAUUUUUGAGACCAUCCGGUCAACCAACCCUAACUCUGCUUCGGGCCCAGAUGGCUUCUCUAUUCCCUUCUUCAGAAAAUUUUGGCCACAGCUGCGUGGCCUCGUACUUGCUAUCGUUCAAGGCUUCCGUUUGGGGACAAUUGAUAUCUCUCGUCUGAAUUAUGCUGUUCUCACCCUCAUCCCUAAAGUUAAAGGGACCGACAAAAUUACUCAGUUCAAGCCAAUAACUCUCAUCAACAAUUUUGCUAAGAUCCCUGCUAAAGGCUUUGCCAUGUGGCUCUCCCCUAUCGCUGACCGGACCCUCAGUCCGUUCCAAUCUGCUUUCGUUAAGGGUCAUUUCAUCCUGGACGACAUUCUUUGUCUCCACGAGAUAGUUCAUGAUAUACGUGCCAGCGGGACUAAAGCGGUGAUCCUUAAACUGGACUUUGAGAAGGCUUAUGAUUCUGUUAGUUGGGACUUCCUACGUUAGGUGCUU
This 609-nucleotide ribosomal RNA is filed under the name Triticum aestivum (bread wheat). RNAcentral describes it as "partial small subunit ribosomal RNA". Lineage: Eukaryota; Viridiplantae; Streptophyta; Magnoliopsida; Poales; Poaceae. The record is from RNAcentral.